RNAcentral lists this ribosomal RNA (1021 nucleotides) under uncultured bacterium. RNAcentral's name for it is "bacterial SSU rRNA". It matches the Rfam family "Bacterial small subunit ribosomal RNA", at positions 56 to 1069 of the family's 1533-position model. The record is from RNAcentral.
UGUCAAGUCGAGCGGGGUUUUCGGACCUAGCGGCGGACGGGUGAGUAAUGCGUAGGAAGCUGCCCGAUAGAGGGGGAUACCAGUUGGAAACGACUGUUAAUACCGCAUAAUGUCUACGGACCAAAGUGUGGGACCUUCGGGCCACAUGCUAUCGGAUGCGCCUACGUGGGAUUAGCUAGUUGGUGAGGUAAUGGCUCACCAAGGCGACGAUCUCUAGCUGGUUUGAGAGGAUGAUCAGCCACACUGGAACUGAGACACGGUCCAGACUCCUACGGGAGGCAGCAGUGGGGAAUAUUGGACAAUGGGCGCAGGCCUGAUCCAGCCAUGCCGCGUGUGUGAAGAAGGCCUUCGGGUUGUAAAGCACUUUCAGCGAGGAGGAAGGGGUAGUAGUUAAUAGCUGCUACUUUUGACGUUACUCGCAGAAGAAGCACCGGCUAACUCUGUGCCAGCAGCCGCGGUAAUACAGAGGGUGCAAGCGUUAAUCGGAAUUACUGGGCGUAAAGCGCACGUAGGCGGUUCGUUAAGUUGGAUGUGAAAGCCCCGGGCUCAACCUGGGAAUUGCAUUCAAAACUGGCCAACUAGAGUAUGUGAGAGGGGGGUAGAAUUCCAAGUGUAGCGGUGAAAUGCGUAGAGAUUUGGAGGAAUACCAGUGGCGAAGGCGGCCCCCUGGCACAAUACUGACGCUGAGGUGCGAAAGCGUGGGGAGCAAACAGGAUUAGAUACCCUGGUAGUCCACGCCGUAAACGAUGUCUACUAGCUGUUCGUGGUCUUGUACUGUGAGUAGCGCAGCUAACGCACUAAGUAGACCGCCUGGGGGAGUACGGUCGCAAGAUUAAAAACUCAAAUGAAAUUGACGGGGGGCCCGCACAAGCGGUGGGAGCAUGUGGUUUUAAUUCGACGCAACGCGAAGAACCCUUUACCCUACUCUUGACAUCUACGAGAAGUUGGCAGAGAUGCUUGAUGUUGCCCUUCGGGAAACCGUAAAGAACAGGGUGCUUGCAAUGGGCCUGUCCGUCCAGCU